ACCCGGGUAGCUCAAUUGGUAGAGCGUGAGACUUUUAAUCUCAAGGCUAAGGGAUCGAGACCCUUCUCGGGUG
Cladochytrium replicatum is the source of this 73-nucleotide non-coding RNA. The record is from the annotation of a GenBank genome assembly. NCBI's taxonomy places the organism in Eukaryota, Fungi, Chytridiomycota, Chytridiomycetes, Cladochytriales, Cladochytriaceae.